Molecule: microRNA precursor, 193 nt
Filed under: Oryza punctata
Lineage: Eukaryota; Viridiplantae; Streptophyta; Magnoliopsida; Poales; Poaceae
Description: MIR812 microRNA precursor family
Rfam family: MIR812 microRNA precursor family
Source: Rfam by way of RNAcentral
AAUAAGUAAAGUUAUUCACUGUUCAUAUUCAACAUUUAAUCAUUUAUCUUAUUUUAUUUUUUUAUAAAUAAUAUUUUUUUAUUAUUAGAUGAUAAAAUAUGAAUAGUACUUUAUAUGUGACUAAUUUUUUUAAUCUUUUCAUAAAUUACGGACGGUCAAAUAUUAGAUAUGGAAAUCCACGACUGUACUUAUU